Molecule: ribosomal RNA, 462 nt
Filed under: uncultured bacterium
Lineage: Bacteria
Description: partial 16S ribosomal RNA
Rfam family: Bacterial small subunit ribosomal RNA
Source: RNAcentral
AGUGAACGCUGGCGGCGUGCCUAAUACAUGCAAGUCGAACGGAGAUUAAGUAGCUUGCUAUUUAAUCUUAGUGGCGCACGGGUGAGUAAUAUAUAGCUAACUUGCCCAUUACUAAGGGACAACAGUUGGAAACGACUGCUAAUACCUUAUACUCCGUAUCUAUAUAAGUAGAUACGGGAAAGUUUUUCGGUAAUGGAUAGGGCUAUAUCGUAUCAGCUAGUUGGUAAGGUAAUGGCUUACCAAGGCUAUGACGCGUAACUGGUCUGCGAGGAUGAUCAGUCACACUGGAACUGAGACACGGUCCAGACUCCUACGGGAGGCAGCAGUAGGGAAUAGUGCUCAAUGGGGGAAACCCUGAAGCAGCAACGCCGCGUGGAGGAUGACACUUUUCGGAGCGUAAACUCCUUUUCUUGGGAAAGAAUUAUGACGGUACCCAAGGAAUAAGCACCGGCUAACUCCGUG